CCUACGGGUGGCAGCAGUGAGGAAUAUUGGUCAAUGGACGAAAGUCUGAACCAGCCAUGUCGCGUGCAGGAUGACUGCCCUAUGGGUUGUAAACUGCUUUUAUAUGGGAGUAAAAGAGGAUAUGCAUACCCUCUUGUAUGUAUCAUAUGAAUAAGGAUCGGCUAACUCCGUGCCAGCAGCCGCGGUAAUACGGAGGAUCCGAGCGUUAUCCGGAUUUAUUGGGUUUAAAGGGUGCGUAGGUGGAUGGUUAAGUGAGUGGUGAAAGUCUGCGGCUCAACCGUAGAAUUGCAUCUGAUACUGUCAGUCUAGAGUACAGUAGAGGUAGGCGGAAUGCGUGGUGUAGCGGUGAAAUGCUUAGAGAUCACGAAGAACACCGAUUGCGAAGGCAGCAUACC
This 395-nucleotide ribosomal RNA is filed under the name uncultured bacterium. RNAcentral's name for it is "partial 16S ribosomal RNA". It matches the Rfam family "Bacterial small subunit ribosomal RNA", at positions 338 to 730 of the family's 1533-position model. The record is from RNAcentral.